GACGAACGCUGGCGGCGUGCUUAACACAUGCAAGUCGAACGGAAGGACGCUGCUUUUGUUUGGUGGUCGAUUGGCGCGCGGGUGAGUGACACGUGAGUAACCUGCCCUUGUCUUUCGGAUAACUUCAGGAAACUGGGGCUAAUACCGGAUAGGAGCUCCUGCUGCACGGUGGGGGUUGGAAAGAGUCGGCGGUAGGGGAUGGAUUAGCGGGUUACGAGCUUGUUGGUGGGGUAGUGACGUACCAAGUCUUUGACGGAUAGCCGGCCUGAGAGGGUGACCGGGGUCAAUACGACUGAGAGACGGCGCAGACGGCUACGGGAGGCAGCAGUCGGAAGUAUUGCGCAACGGGGGGGAGUCUGUGGUAGAAACGUCGGGAGCGGGAUGAUCUGUUAUGGGUUGUAAACAGAUGUGGCAGGUGACGAAGAGUGAGUGACGGUAAUGGAUAAAGAAGCACCGGCUAACUACGUG
This 468-nucleotide ribosomal RNA is filed under the name uncultured bacterium. RNAcentral's name for it is "partial 16S ribosomal RNA". It matches the Rfam family "Bacterial small subunit ribosomal RNA", at positions 28 to 507 of the family's 1533-position model. The record is from RNAcentral.